Molecule: ribosomal RNA, 249 nt
Filed under: uncultured soil bacterium
Lineage: Bacteria
Description: partial 16S ribosomal RNA
Rfam family: Bacterial small subunit ribosomal RNA
Source: RNAcentral
AGAUUGAACGCUGGCGGCAUGCCUAACACAUGCAAGUUCGAACGGGAGUAGCAAUACUCUAGUGGCGGACGGGUGAGGAAUACGUAGGAAUUUGCCCUUAAGUGGGGGAUAACCCGGGGAAACCCGGAUUAAUACCGCAUGACCUCGAAAGAGCAAAGUGGGGGAUCGCAAGACCUCACGCUUUUGGAGAAGCCUACGUCGGAUUAGCUAGUUGGUGAGGUAAUGGCUCACCAAGGCGACGAUCCGUAA